CGUAGGGAUAAACCUAUGAUUAUUAAAUAUUUAUUUAAGUAUGAAUAGGUAUUUUUGAGGUUAUAGAAAGGUGAUUUGAGGCUUCAGGAUAAUUCUAAAAUUUUUAAUUUAUUUUUGGAUGAAUUUUUAGAAUGUAGAAGGAUGAAAUUGUGAUACUAGAAGUGAAUUGAGGAUAAAAAAAAAUAGUUCAUUAGGGUACGAGAAUUUUAGAAAAGAAUUUGGGAAGUUAAAUGAGGCAUAAAUCUUAAAUUAGUGUUAAUAUGGACUAUAGAUUUAAGACUUUCUAACUCUUUAAAUUAGAGUUAUUUAUUUUAAUGUAAAAUUAAUAUAUAGUAUUGUGAAAUAAUUAUGUAGAUUAUAUUGACAAAGAUAGUGGUGAAAAAGGAGUUGUGAAGGGGAACUUGUUAUUCAAGACACAAGGAGCGAGUCCGGCCGAGAAAGCACCAGAGGUGUAACUAUGGUGUAUGAGACACCAUCUUUUACGUUGCCUCUUAUUUUGGAUUAUACAAUGUAUCUUGUGCCAACUUAGGACAUAUCUUCUUUGUGAAGCAUGUAAACUCUAAUCCUUUUUAUUAAAAGUAUUUAUAUGACCAAGAGGAUUAUAUCUGUCCCUCUUGAUUCAUGACCUGAUUUAAAUAUCAUGCCAUGAGGAUCCUGUCUGUCCCUCAUGGUUCUAAUUGCUUUUUGAGA
This is a long non-coding RNA of Prosopis cineraria, 690 nucleotides long. RefSeq lists it as uncharacterized. Lineage: Eukaryota; Viridiplantae; Streptophyta; Magnoliopsida; Fabales; Fabaceae. The record is from RefSeq and is a predicted model, not a curated record. The transcript is spliced from 2 exons.